GCCCUCUCACGGCUGCACCUGGAGAGUUUCCAGUACUCUACCAGUCUCAGCUAUGGGAGGGAGAGUUAAGCAGAGGCCUAGCCAUUCCAUUCCUAGCUUGGCCAGUGGCUAGCGAGCAGAUGGCAAUCUGCUACAAGU
RNAcentral lists this small nucleolar RNA (138 nucleotides) under Ornithorhynchus anatinus (platypus). The record is from RNAcentral. Lineage: Eukaryota; Metazoa; Chordata; Mammalia; Monotremata; Ornithorhynchidae.